This 496-nucleotide ribosomal RNA is filed under the name uncultured bacterium. RNAcentral describes it as "partial 16S ribosomal RNA". It matches the Rfam family "Bacterial small subunit ribosomal RNA", at positions 29 to 523 of the family's 1533-position model. The record is from RNAcentral.
AUUGAACGCUGGCGGCAUGCCUUACACAUGCAAGUCGAACGGUAGGGGGAGCAAUCCCCUGAGAGUGGCGAACGGGUGAGUAAAGCAUCGGAACGUGCCCAGUUGUGGGGGAUAACUACUCGAAAGAGUGGCUAAUACCGCAUACGACCUGAGGGUGAAAGCGGGGGACCGAAAGGCCUCGCGCAGUUGGAGCGGCCGAUGUCAGAUUAGCUAGUUGGGGGGGUAAAGGUCCACCAAGGCGACGAUCUGUAGCUGGUCUGAGAGGACGACCGGCCACACUGGGACUGAGAGACGGCCCAGACUCCUACGGGAGGCAGCAGUGGGGAAUUUUGGACAAUGGGCGCAAGCCUGAUCCAGCCAUGCCGCGUGCAGGAAGAAGGCCUUCGGGUUGUAAACUGCUUUCGUCAGGGAAGAAAUCCCUUGGGUUAAUACCUCGGGGGGAUGACGGUACCUGAAGAAUAAGCACCGGCUAACUACGUGCCAGCAGCCGCCGCUG